UUUUUAAUAAAAUUAUUUAUUUUAUAAAUUUUCGUAGGUUAUACUAAUUUCUGUGAAGAAAAUUAAAAAUUUUUAAAAAGAAAUUUUUUAUUCCUUUUGUAUCAGGAGACUUCAAACUUUUUUUUCCACAAAAAUUUCCUGAAAAAAGGUCAUCUAUUACUUUAUAUUAUUAUUGUAGUAAAAAUACUAUUAAUAAAUUAAUAGAAAUUAGACUUUAUCCGAACCUUUUGAUAUCCGGUUUCUUUAAUUUUUGAAUAAAAAAUUAUUUUAAUAAAGACAACUUUAUUAAACAAUUUAAUUCAUUCACUAUCAUUUAAGGAUUAAAAGUUUCCAAAUAGUUUCACAACUUUAUAAUUUUUUAUACAUAAUAGUAAUGUAAAGACUUUCCUAAAUCAAGCUGAUAAUGAAUUUAUUAGUAAAAAUUUUUAUUAAAAAUUUAGGAAUUAAGCAAAAUAUUGAAUGCCUGUUUACCAAAAACAUCUCUCACUUUUUUAUUGUAAGUAUUACCUGCUCAAUGAAUUUUAAAUAGCCGCGGAAAUUUAACUGUGCUAAGGUAGCAUAAUCAUUAGUCCCCUAAUUAGGGACUUGUAUGAAAGGUAAAACAUUUUAAUCUCUUUCUUUUUUAUUAGAAUUUAAGUUAAAUUAAGAAUAAAAAUGUUCUUAUUUUUAAAAUAGACGAUAAGACCCUUUUGAACUUUACUUCUGUUUAGCUGGGGCAGCUAAAUAAUAAUAGUCUUCAAUUUUAUUCUUUUUAUAAAUGACCCAAAACAUUUGAGUAGAUGAUCAAGUUACCAUAGGGAUAACAGCGUAAUUUCUUUUUAAAGCUCUUAUUAAAAAAGAAGAUUGCGACCUCGAUGUUGAAUUAAUGUUCCUUUUAGGUGCAAUAACUUUAAGAGUAGGUCUGUUCGACCUAUAAAACAUUACAUGAUUUGAGUUCAAAUCGGUGUAAACCAGAUUGGUUUCUAUCUUUUUAAUUUAUUUAUUUAGUACGAAAGGACAAAUAAAUUUAUUAUCAAU
This 1017-nucleotide ribosomal RNA is filed under the name Cyclosa japonica. Its description in RNAcentral is "16S ribosomal RNA". The stretch from base 667 to 974 matches the Rfam family "Archaeal large subunit ribosomal RNA", at positions 2148 to 2718 of the family's 2987-position model. Lineage: Eukaryota; Metazoa; Arthropoda; Arachnida; Araneae; Araneidae. The record is from RNAcentral.